This 804-nucleotide ribosomal RNA is filed under the name uncultured bacterium. RNAcentral describes it as "SSU rRNA". It matches the Rfam family "Eukaryotic small subunit ribosomal RNA", at positions 673 to 1503 of the family's 1831-position model. The record is from RNAcentral.
AUGUGUACUUGUUUGACGGAGCCUUACCUCCUGGUGAACGGCGAUGUCCUUUACUGGGUGUCGUCGCAAACCAUGACUUUUACUUUGAAAAAAUUAGAGUGUUCAAAGCAGGCCUUUGCCCGCAUACAUUAGCAUGGAAUAAUAAAAUAGGACGCGCGUUCCCAUUUUGUUGGUUUCUGAGAUCGCCGUAAUGAUUAAUAGGGAUAGUUGGGGCAUUUGUAUUCCGUCGUCAGAGGUGAAAUUCUUGGAUUGCCGGAAGACAAACUACUGCGAAAGCAUUUGCCAAGGAUGUUUUCAUUGAUCAAGAACGAAGGAAGGGGGAUCGAAAACGAUUAGAUACCGUUGUAGUCUCUUCUGUAAACUAUGCCAAUUGGGGAUCGGUACAGGAUUUUUAAUGACUGUAUCGGCACCCGAAGAGAAAUCUUUAAAUGAGGUUCGGGGGGGAGUAUGGUCGCAAGGCUGAAACUUAAAGGAAUUGACGGAAGGGCACCACCAGGUGUGGAGCCUGCGGCUUAAUUUGACUCAACACGGGGAAACUCACCAGGUCCAGACACAAUAAGGAUUGACAGAUUGAUAGCUCUUUCUUGAUCUUGUGGUUGGUGGUGCAUGGCCGUUCUUAGUUGGUGGAGUGAUUUGUCUGGUUAAUUCCGAUAACGAACGAGACCUUAACCUGCUAAAUAGACCAGCCGGCUUUGGCUAGCUGCUGUCUUCUUAGAGGGACUAUCAGCGUUUAGCUGAUGGAAGUUUGAGGCAAUAACAGGUCUGUGAUGCCCUUAGAUGUUCUGGGCCGCACGCGCGCUACAC